Molecule: ribosomal RNA, 216 nt
Filed under: Glomeromycotina sp.
Lineage: Eukaryota; Fungi; Glomeromycota
Description: partial small subunit ribosomal RNA
Rfam family: Eukaryotic small subunit ribosomal RNA (bases 40-216)
Source: RNAcentral
GGGUCAGUAGGUUGGUCGUGCCACCGGUACGUACUGGUCUCACUGAUUUCUCCUUCCUGAAGAACCGUAAUGCCAUUAAUUUGGUGUUGCGGGGAAACAGGACUGUUACCUUGAAAAAAUUAGAGUGUUUAAAGCAAGCUAACGCUUGAAUACAUUAGCAUGGAAUAAUGAAAUAGGACGAUCGAUCCUAUUUUGUUGGUUUCUAGGAUUGACGUA